UCUUCCCCACGGGCUGCAGGGGAAUCCCUGCUCCGGCGCCUGGAGCACCUCCUCCCCCUCCUUCUGCACUGACCUGGGGUCUGCGGGGCUGGUUCUCACACAUCUUCUUACUCCUCUCUCCGGCGACAGUUUCUGUCUGUCCCAUCCUU
Molecule: long non-coding RNA, 149 nt
Organism: Aquila chrysaetos chrysaetos
Lineage: Eukaryota; Metazoa; Chordata; Aves; Accipitriformes; Accipitridae
Exons: 3
Source: RefSeq, a predicted model, not a curated record